This is a long non-coding RNA of Benincasa hispida (wax gourd), 371 nucleotides long. RefSeq lists it as uncharacterized. The record is from RefSeq and is a predicted model, not a curated record. NCBI's taxonomy places the organism in Eukaryota, Viridiplantae, Streptophyta, Magnoliopsida, Cucurbitales, Cucurbitaceae.
GAGAGGGAGGUUCGAAUUCAGCCCUAGAAUUGAGUGGAAGAAGGAGGGGAAGAUUUGGUUGAUGAUAUCCAAUGAGUGUUGGAGAGAGACAUGAUGUUGAAGGGCCCAGUGGGACAAACUCCAUUAUUUAUCAAUAAAUGGGUGCAACCAUGUGAAUGCUGGUGGGGAAUGUUGGUAGUAAGUGAUGGAAUGUUGGGGCAUAUUUUAUACCUGGUUGAAUAAUAUUUGAGAUGUACCUAUUUUUGUGUAUCUCAUAUUUAUCGUAUAUCUAAAAAUAAUAAUAAAAUAUUUGAGGAAAAAAAUUAAUUUAUCAUAUGAUAAAUUAUGAUUUAAAAUUUUAAUGAAAUACAUAAAGAUGGGUAUGUUUGAGA